Molecule: ribosomal RNA, 897 nt
Filed under: uncultured Bacteroidota bacterium
Lineage: Bacteria; Pseudomonadati; Bacteroidota
Description: bacterial SSU rRNA
Rfam family: Bacterial small subunit ribosomal RNA
Source: RNAcentral
AUGAACGCUAGCUACAGGCUUAACACAUGCAAGUCGAGGGGAAACGACAUCGAAAGCUUGCUUUUGAUGGGCGUCGACCGGCGCACGGGUGAGUAACGCGUAUCCAACCUGCCCACCACUUGGGGAUAACCUUGCGAAAGUAAGACUAAUACCCAAUGAUAUCUCUAGAAGACAUCUGAAAGAGAUUAAAGAUUUAUCGGUGAUGGAUGGGGAUGCGUCUGAUUAGCUUGUUGGCGGGGUAACGGCCCACCAAGGCAACGAUCAGUAGGGGUUCUGAGAGGAAGGUCCCCCACAUUGGAACUGAGACACGGUCCAAACUCCUACGGGAGGCAGCAGUGAGGAAUAUUGGUCAAUGGGCGAGAGCCUGAACCAGCCAAGUAGCGUGCAGGAUGACGGCCCUAUGGGUUGUAAACUGCUUUUAUAAGGGAAUAAAGUGAGUCUCGUGAGACUUUUUGCAUGUACCUUAUGAAUAAGGACCGGCUAAUUCCGUGCCAGCAGCCGCGGUAAUACGGAAGGUCCGGGCGUUAUCCGGAUUUAUUGGGUUUAAAGGGAGCGUAGGCCGGAGAUUAAGCGUGUUGUGAAAUGUAGACGCUCAACGUCUGCACUGCAGCGCGAACUGGUUUCCUUGAGUACGCACAAAGUGGGCGGAAUUCGUGGUGUAGCGGUGAAAUGCUUAGAUAUCACGAAGAACUCCGAUUGCGAAGGCAGCUCACUGGAGCGCAACUGACGCUGAAGCUCGAAAGUGCGGGUAUCGAACAGGAUUAGAUACCCUGGUAGUCCGCACGGUAAACGAUGGAUGCCCGCUGUUGGUCUGAAUAGGUCAGCGGCCAAGCGAAAGCAUUAAGCAUCCCACCUGGGGAGUACGCCGGCAACGGUGCAACUCAAAGGAAUUGACGG